This 201-nucleotide unclassified non-coding RNA is filed under the name root metagenome. RNAcentral's name for it is "partial contains small subunit ribosomal RNA, internal transcribed spacer 1, and 5.8S ribosomal RNA". The record is from RNAcentral.
UCUCCGUUGGUGAACCAGCGGAGGGAUCAUUACAGAGUACUUUACUCAUAACCCUUUGUGAACCUUUAUAACCUGUUGCUUCGGCGGCGCGCCUCCGGGCGUGCCCGCCGGUAUCAUCAGAAUCUCUGUUCGAACCCGACGAUAUAUCUGAGUGUUCUAAGCGAACUGUUAAAACUUUCAACAACGGAUCUCUUGGCUCCA